UACGGAGGGUGCGAGCGUUGUCCGGAAUCAUUGGGCGUAAAGGGCGCGUAGGUGGCCUGGUCAGCGUGCGGUGAAAGCUCGGGGCUCAACCCCGAGUCGGCCGUGCGAACUGCUGGGCUUGAGCACUGUAGAGGCAGGCGGAAUUCCGGGUGUAGCGGUGGAAUGCGUAGAGAUCCGGAAGAACACCGGUGGCGAAGGCGGCAUCCUGGACCAAUAUUGACGCUGAGGAGCGAAAGCUAGGGGAGCAAACGGG
Molecule: ribosomal RNA, 253 nt
Filed under: uncultured bacterium
Lineage: Bacteria
Description: partial 16S ribosomal RNA
Rfam family: Bacterial small subunit ribosomal RNA
Source: RNAcentral